Nothoprocta perdicaria is the source of this 687-nucleotide long non-coding RNA. RefSeq lists it as uncharacterized. The record is from RefSeq and is a predicted model, not a curated record. NCBI's taxonomy places the organism in Eukaryota, Metazoa, Chordata, Aves, Tinamiformes, Tinamidae. The transcript has 2 exons.
CUACGAGAGAAACAAACAAAAAAGCUCAGACACUCCAAUAAAACCAACAAGAAGAUGGUUCCUGUGGUGAAAGACUCUUGAGCCACUAAGACAUGAUGAGCAGCCAAUGARCAUCUCUACUCUCUGAUUGGGAACUGAGAAAUGGGCUACAACAAAGUGAACUACUGUGAAAUCAGGCGUAGAACCUCAUCUGCAUCAAUUUACCAGCUAUGCCUUCCUGCUCUUUCUAUCAGAGGACUGCUGAGACACAGAAACAGCAGACACUGCUCUGCAUUGGGCACUGUCCUGAAACAGCUCAAUGGUGCRCUUGAAAACUGAUGUAUGCCUAUUUGAAGGAGGACAAACAAAACAACAACCCAGCACCCAAGUCAAGCAAAAGACUUUCUGAUACCAUUACAGACUACUAUUUACCAAAUUUCACUUUUUGGAAUUGAAGCAGUCAUUAGGUACAGUUUUAUUUUGUCAUUAUUGAUUUGCAUUGGUUUUGUUUUGCUUCUUUUGCUUUUAAACAUUUUUAGAUAAACGGACUAGACUGUGGUUUAUAAAUAAGCCUGCUCAUAGGCUGGUCAUGGUUUUCCUUCCAAUUUUUAGCCCAGAGAGGACUUCUGUGGCUGAGUUACAAACCCCUGAACAGAAGGGUUCAAAGAUGAAAUAGUGAUGUAAGCCAUGGCUGUUCAAAUCUCCCAC